This is a long non-coding RNA of Gorilla gorilla gorilla (western lowland gorilla), 1436 nucleotides long. RefSeq lists it as uncharacterized. The record is from RefSeq and is a predicted model, not a curated record. The transcript has 6 exons. Lineage: Eukaryota; Metazoa; Chordata; Mammalia; Primates; Hominidae.
CGUCCCUCCCCCAUCUAUGAGUAUAAAAAUCCCAGACUCAGCCACACUGGGGGAGAUGACCCAACUUCAGGUCCAAUCUUCAAUACUGUUUUCAUGAUGGAACGCUUGCCAUGGUUGCAGAAUGGGAAGGACAAAUCUGCCCACUGCAGGAAAAAAAGUUCUAUUCCAGAUGAAGAGUAACUAGAAAAAAUAUCUAUCUCUGAACAUUAGAAUCACACUCAGCCUGAUGAGAUGCUCACACCGAGGAAUACCGGAAGUGAGACCGACUAAACGGACCUCAGGUAGAGGACAGGCAUAAAACUGCCUGCCCUUGUUUUCCCCAUCCUUCCUCACAACUCGGAGAAUGCAGAGGCGGUUGUGUUUACUGCAGCGAGGGCUGUCAGGAUUUAAGGAUUAUUUCGAGGAUUAAAACAAACAAAAGUGAAAUGACUCAUUCUGGACGGCCCCAGGUGGUUCUGAAAUCCUGUGACUGAAAACUCCAAGAAACAACCAAGAGACAAGGACAUGGUAUGUCUAUGAUAGUAACGGGGGUGAAGCAGCUGAGUGGAAGAAGAUAUAGAGUGCUGUAGAGAAAAGUAUUGGAGAACAAGAAGAGUGAUGCAGAAAAUGAAACGCAGGGACACAAAGAAAAAGCACGCAGUUCUGGACAUAUUUAUGAAGACUUAAGCUGGGACUUCCUCUGCACACCAGCUCCCUCCCCUGCCCCCAGCUCUACAGACAUGACGGCCCUUCCCACCUCCCGGGUUUCCCACAGUCGAGUGGUGCCCUGAGUCUCUUCCUAUGUCCAAUCCUAUGGUUUUGUUUCCUUUGCUUUUUCUUUCCUGCCCACUUUGUAGUUAUAGGUAUUUGCUGAAGCUCAGACCUUGGCUCAUUUCCUUUUUCUUUCUUACUGAACUGAGAAGUUGGAAUGCUUCAAUCAACAGCACUAUGCCGACAGCCUCUCUCAUCCUGGAUCGCAGCCCCUAAGACAUGUCUUCCUGGAUAUUCCAGGGUUCUUUCACAUAUCUAACACAUACUGCAUCUUCACUGCUGCAUCCCAAUUUUCCCACACCCACAAUGUGAAAAUUUUUAUUAUUUGGUCCUGAAACCUUUUGCAUCAUCCUACCUAUCAAAUCUGCCACAGUCCUUGUUGACUUUUAAAAAGUUUUACUAGAGUACCAUGUCCAGUGUCUUGACCCCAGGCUGGUAACCAUCACUUGCCCGUUACUCUGCACCAGCUUCUUUACAUGCAUUUUCAGUCUCUUCGUUUUCCAUGUUAACUAUGCUACAAUCAACUAAAAGUCCUUAACGCGCUAAUUUAGGAAAGACCUUAACCAUCCUCCAAACUACUAAUGACUCCCACCAUUUGAUCCCACUAUCCCUGUAAAACUAGCUUUUAUUAUUCCACAACGUGGAGCCUCUGUUGGGGUUGGCCAGUAUUCUCAUCAUUCCUCCAC